GCUGUGAUGGCUGAGUGGUUAAGGCGUUGGAUUUGAAAUCUAAAGGGGUUUCCCUGUGCAGGCUCGAACCCUGUUCACAGCG
Sander lucioperca (pikeperch) is the source of this 82-nucleotide non-coding RNA. The record is from the annotation of a RefSeq genome assembly. NCBI's taxonomy places the organism in Eukaryota, Metazoa, Chordata, Actinopteri, Perciformes, Percidae.